GAGAAGUUACUAGAAGGAUUAAUGGAUCUGUGCUACAAUGUUAGGAUCCCCUUAAUCACUUCUUUAGUUUCUGCUAGAAUCUUACUGAUUUAAGGACCUUAAUUCUAGAGUGCUCUGGCUUUCCUCCAAGCAGGAGGAGAGUUCCAACUCAUAGCAGAUGUAGACCAUCCCCUAAGACUCAGGAUCAAUCAGACAGAAGUGAAACAACUCAUCCCACCUGUAAAUUGUCACCUCUAAGCAAGCAAAGAGACAGGCCUCUGGGAAUGCCGUGUGUUACACCUAUGCCAGGGAGAAAAGUGUUCACAGUAUAAAAUCAGACAUGAUGAUCAUGUUGAAACUUGUGGUUCUUGCUACAUCUAAAAAAAACAUGAAGCGGUUUAGGAGACAAGCUCUUGUUUACGCUGACACAGAUGGCUGGAAUAAAUUAGUGGACUCACUAAAGAACAGUUCAUUUUAGUUUAAAAUGCAUUUGGACACUUCUCAAAACUCACAUGGUGACCAUUUUCUGUUAUUUAUUCAUCUAGUUGUGCUUUACGAUUCCAUGCCCAAAGGCUAUGUCUGAGUAAUAGUCAGAGUUUCCUCUUAAUGGACUUUUAUUAUUAUGUAUAUCUCAUUUGUACUCCUGUGCUGCGGCCAACCAUGGGUUAUCCUGUGUAGCUACUCUUUCUGGAAACUGGUGCAAAUCCAACUGCAACCAAGCAGAUUAGAAAGACAAUGUAAACUUCAGUACUGUGAAUGUUCUAAAUUGAGCAUUUUCCCUAAAUCAGUGAAGAAACCCAUGAAGUUGUAACUACAUACUUCAACAUCAGUGCUGCUACAUAGAAUCAUAGAAUCAGCUAAGUCGGAAAAGACCUUCAAGAUCAUCAAGUCCAACCUUUACCCCAGGACUGCCAAGUCCAUCACUAAACUAUUUAAGUUUAGGAGAGGCUGUGAGAGCAAAGCUUCUCAAAUUAACUCUUCAAUUCCAAUCCCCCCUGGACUGGAUUAGGAUGAGGGAGGACAAAGCAUAGCACUAUUACUCUAUGGGUCUUCACUUAUGGACCAUUCAGCAGCACCGUCUUCCUCACACUUCAAAUUUUUCACAUGUACAUGUUUCCU
This is a long non-coding RNA of Neopsephotus bourkii (Bourke's parrot), 1098 nucleotides long. RefSeq lists it as uncharacterized. The record is from RefSeq and is a predicted model, not a curated record. The transcript is spliced from 4 exons. Lineage: Eukaryota; Metazoa; Chordata; Aves; Psittaciformes; Psittacidae.